CCUACGGGAGGCAGCAGUGGGGAAUAUUGGACAAUGGGCGCAAGCCUGAUCCAGCAAUGCCGCGUGAGUGAUGAAGGCCUUCGGGUUGUAAAGCUCUUUCGGCGGGGACGAUGAUGACGGUACCCGCAGAAGAAGCCCCGGCUAACUUCGUGCCAGCAGCCGCGGUAAUACGAAGGGGGCUAGCGUUGUUCGGAAUUACUGGGCGUAAAGGGCGCGUAGGCGGCGCGUUAAGUCAGGCGUGAAAUCCCCGGGCUCAACCUGGGAAUAGCGCUUGAGACUGGCGCGCUCGAGUUCGGGAGAGGAUGGUGGAAUUCCCAGUGUAGAGGUGAAAUUCGUAGAUAUUGGGAAGAACACCGGUGGCGAAGGCGGCCAUCUGGACCGACACUGACGCUGAGGCGCGAAAGCGUGGGGAGCAAACAGGAUUAGAUACCCCAGUAGUC
This 440-nucleotide ribosomal RNA is filed under the name uncultured bacterium. Its description in RNAcentral is "bacterial SSU rRNA". It matches the Rfam family "Bacterial small subunit ribosomal RNA", at positions 338 to 795 of the family's 1533-position model. The record is from RNAcentral.